GCGAAGUAGUGAUAUGGAGCAAAACCCUAAAAGUAGUCUCAGUUCGGAUUGAAGGCUGAAAUUCGCCUUCAUGAAGCUGGAAUUGCUAGUAAUGGCAGGUCAGCAUACUGCCGUGAAUACGUUCCCGGGCCUUGUACACACCGCCCGUCACACCAUGGGAGUCGGUAACGCCCGAAGUCAGUGACCCAACCGAGAGGAGGGAGCUGCCGAAGGCGGGACUGGUAACUGGGGUGAAGUCGUAACAAGGUAUC
This 251-nucleotide ribosomal RNA is filed under the name uncultured bacterium. RNAcentral's name for it is "partial 16S ribosomal RNA". It matches the Rfam family "Bacterial small subunit ribosomal RNA", at positions 1249 to 1500 of the family's 1533-position model. The record is from RNAcentral.